RNAcentral lists this ribosomal RNA (372 nucleotides) under uncultured organism. Its description in RNAcentral is "bacterial SSU rRNA". It matches the Rfam family "Bacterial small subunit ribosomal RNA", at positions 526 to 896 of the family's 1533-position model. The record is from RNAcentral.
CAGAGGUCCCGAGCGUUGUUCGGAUUCACUGGGCGUAAAGGGUGCGUAGGUGGUUGGGCAAGUCUGAUGUGAAAUCUCCGGGCUUAACCCGGAAAUGGCAUUGGGAACUGCCUGGCUAGAGUGUUGGAGGGGGGACUGGAAUUCUCGGUGUAGCAGUGAAAUGCGUAGAUAUCGAGAGGAACACCAGUGGCGAAGGCGAGUCCCUGGACAACGACUGACACUGAGGCACGAAAGCUAGGGGAGCAAACAGGAUUAGAUACCCUGGUAGUCCUAGCCGUAAACGGUGCUUGCUUGCUGUAAAAGGAAUCGACCCCUUUUGUGGCGAAGCCAACGCGAUAAGCAAGCCGCCUGGGAAGUACGGUCGCAAGAUUA